AACCCUUGUCCUUAGUUACCAGCACGUUAUAGUGGGCGACUCUAAGGAGACUGCCGGUGGACAAACCGGAGGAAGGUGGGGAGUGACGUCAAGUCAUCAUGGCCCUUACGGCCUGGGCUACACACGUGCUACAAUGGUCGGUACAAAGGGUUGCCAAGCCGCGAGGUGGAGCUAAUCCCAUAAAACCGAUCGUAGUCCGGAUCGCAGUCUGCAACUCGACUGCGUGAAGUCGGAAUCGCUAGUAAUCGUGAAUCAGAAUGUCACGGUGAAUACGUUCCCGGGCCUU
This 286-nucleotide ribosomal RNA is filed under the name uncultured Pseudomonas sp. RNAcentral's name for it is "partial 16S ribosomal RNA". It matches the Rfam family "Bacterial small subunit ribosomal RNA", at positions 1100 to 1382 of the family's 1533-position model. Lineage: Bacteria; Pseudomonadati; Pseudomonadota; Gammaproteobacteria; Pseudomonadales; Pseudomonadaceae. The record is from RNAcentral.